Molecule: small nuclear RNA, 167 nt
Filed under: Zalophus californianus (California sea lion)
Lineage: Eukaryota; Metazoa; Chordata; Mammalia; Carnivora; Otariidae
Description: U4 spliceosomal RNA (ENSZCAG00015013069.1)
Rfam family: U4 spliceosomal RNA
About the family: U4 small nuclear RNA (U4 snRNA) is a component of the major U2-dependent spliceosome. The structure of U4 snRNA from yeast and human has been reported.
Source: RNAcentral
AGCUUUGCCCAGUGGCAGUAUCGUAGCCAAUGUGGUUUAUCCAAGGCGCGAUUACUGCUAUUGAGACACUAACAGGGAGCGCCAAAGUUCCACAGGCUAAGCCUUCUCAGCUCUUUUCCUGUGCUUCUAUAAUAGCUCUGGGCGGUAUUUCUGAAAAUGUGGUCACU